This is a non-coding RNA of Listeria fleischmannii subsp. coloradonensis, 119 nucleotides long. NCBI's taxonomy places the organism in Bacteria, Bacillati, Bacillota, Bacilli, Caryophanales, Listeriaceae. The record is from Rfam.
AGAACCUUUAAGUAAUAGUCCAGAGAGGCUAAAAAGGUAAACGUUUUGUAUAGGGAAAGUGUAUUCCCAGCGACACGAUACGUGUACCCUUCGCCGCUUUGGUGAAGGGUUUUUUGUAU